Molecule: ribosomal RNA, 770 nt
Filed under: Staphylococcus sp.
Lineage: Bacteria; Bacillati; Bacillota; Bacilli; Caryophanales; Staphylococcaceae
Description: bacterial SSU rRNA
Rfam family: Bacterial small subunit ribosomal RNA
Source: RNAcentral
GACGAAGGAAGCUUGCUUCCUCUGACGUUAGCGGCGGACGGGUGAGUAACACGUGGAUAACCUACCUAUAAGACUGGGAUAACUUCGGGAAACCGGAGCUAAUACCGGAUAAUAUAUUGAACCGCAUGGUUCAAUAGUGAAAGACGGUUUUGCUGUCACUUAUAGAUGGAUCCGCGCCGCAUUAGCUAGUUGGUAAGGUAACGGCUUACCAAGGCAACGAUGCGUAGCCGACCUGAGAGGGUGAUCGGCCACACUGGAACUGAGACACGGUCCAGACUCCUACGGGAGGCAGCAGUAGGGAAUCUUCCGCAAUGGGCGAAAGCCUGACGGAGCAACGCCGCGUGAGUGAUGAAGGUCUUCGGAUCGUAAAACUCUGUUAUUAGGGAAGAACAAAUGUGUAAGUAACUAUGCACGUCUUGACGGUACCUAAUCAGAAAGCCACGGCUAACUACGUGCCAGCAGCCGCGGUAAUACGUAGGUGGCAAGCGUUAUCCGGAAUUAUUGGGCGUAAAGCGCGCGUAGGCGGUUUUUUAAGUCUGAUGUGAAAGCCCACGGCUCAACCGUGGAGGGUCAUUGGAAACUGGAAAACUUGAGUGCAGAAGAGGAAAGUGGAAUUCCAUGUGUAGCGGUGAAAUGCGCAGAGAUAUGGAGGAACACCAGUGGCGAAGGCGACUUUCUGGUCUGUAACUGACGCUGAUGUGCGAAAGCGUGGGGAUCAAACAGGAUUAGAUACCCUGGUAGUCCACGCCGUAAACGAUGAGUGCUAAGUG